RNAcentral lists this ribosomal RNA (253 nucleotides) under uncultured bacterium. RNAcentral describes it as "partial 16S ribosomal RNA". It matches the Rfam family "Bacterial small subunit ribosomal RNA", at positions 524 to 776 of the family's 1533-position model. The record is from RNAcentral.
UACAGAGGGUGCGAGCGUUAAUCGGAAUUACUGGGCGUAAAGCGCACGUAGGCGGCUUUCUAAGUCGGGGGUGAAAUCCUGGAGCUCAACUCCAGAACUGCCUUCGAUACUGGAGAGCUCGAGUCCGGGAGAGGUGAGUGGAACUGCGAGUGUAGAGGUGAAAUUCGUAGAUAUUCGCAAGAACACCAGUGGCGAAGGCGGCCAUCUGGACGGAUACUGACGCUGAGACGCGAAAGCGUGGGGAGCAAACAGG